RNAcentral lists this ribosomal RNA (325 nucleotides) under uncultured eukaryote. RNAcentral describes it as "partial 18S ribosomal RNA". It matches the Rfam family "Eukaryotic small subunit ribosomal RNA", at positions 1470 to 1796 of the family's 1831-position model. The record is from RNAcentral.
CCCUUAGAUGUUCUGGGCCGCACGCGCGCUACACUGAUGCAUUCAACGAGCCUAUCCUUGACCGACAGGUCCGGGUAAUCUUUGAAUCUGCAUCGUGACGGGGAUAGAUUAUUGCAAUUAUUAAUCUUCAACGAGGAAUGCCUAGUAAGCGCAAGUCAUCAGCUUGCGUCGAUUACGUCCCUGCCCUUUGUACACACCGCCCGUCGCUCCUACCGAUUGGGUGUGCUGGUGAAAUGUUCGGAUCGGCCGUUUGUCGCGGUUUCCGCGUCAUGUGGCUGAGAAGUUCAUUAAACCCUCCCACCUAGAGGAAGGAGAAGUCGUAACA